CCUACGGGAGGCAGCAGUGAGGAAUAUUGGACAAUGGGCGCAAGCCUGAUCCAGCCAUCCCGCGUGCAGGAAGACGGCCCUAUGGGUUGUAAACUGCUUUUAUCUGGGGAUAAACCUACUUACAUGUAAGUAGCUGAAGGUACCAGAAGAAUAAGCACCGGCUAACUCCGUGCCAGCAGCCGCGGUAAUA
Molecule: ribosomal RNA, 190 nt
Filed under: uncultured Elizabethkingia sp.
Lineage: Bacteria; Pseudomonadati; Bacteroidota; Flavobacteriia; Flavobacteriales; Weeksellaceae
Description: partial 16S rRNA
Rfam family: Bacterial small subunit ribosomal RNA
Source: RNAcentral